GGCUGUGAUGAACAUUUCGUGCUUUGCACGCUGGAAAUUACCGACUGAGACCACAAGUCUUUGACGAUAACAAAUGGCUGAUUCUGAGC
RNAcentral lists this small nucleolar RNA (89 nucleotides) under Oidiodendron maius Zn. Its description in RNAcentral is "A. fumigatus snoRNA Afu_300". It matches the Rfam family "A. fumigatus snoRNA Afu_300". Lineage: Eukaryota; Fungi; Ascomycota; Leotiomycetes; Myxotrichaceae. The record is from Rfam by way of RNAcentral.